GUUGACCUCGGAUCAGGUAGGAAUACCCGCUGAACUUAAGCAUAUCAAUAAGCGGAGGAAAAGAAACCAACAGGGAUUGCCCUAGUAACGGCGAGUGAAGCGGCAACAGCUCAAAUUUGAAAUCUGGCUUCAGGCCCGAGUUGUAAUUUGCAGAGGAUGUUUCUGGCGCGGUGCCUUCCGAGUUCCCUGGAACGGGACGCCACAGAGGGUGAGAGCCCCGUAUGGUAGGACACCAAGCCUGUGUGAAACUCCUUCGACGAGUCGAGUAGUUUGGGAAUGCUGCUCUAAAGGGAGGAAUCCCAACAAAGCUAAAGCCCC
RNAcentral lists this ribosomal RNA (318 nucleotides) under Microascospora fragariae. RNAcentral's name for it is "Sphaeronaemella fragariae partial 24S ribosomal RNA". It matches the Rfam family "Eukaryotic large subunit ribosomal RNA", at positions 1 to 325 of the family's 3401-position model. Lineage: Eukaryota; Fungi; Ascomycota; Sordariomycetes; Diaporthales; Melanconiellaceae. The record is from RNAcentral.